RNAcentral lists this unclassified non-coding RNA (520 nucleotides) under uncultured Glomus. RNAcentral describes it as "SSU rRNA". It matches the Rfam family "Eukaryotic small subunit ribosomal RNA", at positions 569 to 1090 of the family's 1831-position model. Lineage: Eukaryota; Fungi; Glomeromycota; Glomeromycetes; Glomerales; Glomeraceae. The record is from RNAcentral.
AGCAGCCGCGGUAAUUCCAGCUCCAAUAGCGUAUAUUAAAGUUGUUGCAGUUAAAAAGCUCGUAGUUGAAUUUCGGGGUUAGCAGGUCGGUCGUGCCAUCGGUAUGAACUGGUCUCGCUGAUCCCUCCCUCUUGAAGAACUGUGAUGCCAUUAAUUUGGUGUCGCAGGGAAUCAGGACUGUUACUUUGAAAAAAUUAGAGUGUUUAAAGCAGGCUCACGCUUGAAUACAUUAGCAUGGAAUAAUGAAAUAGGACGUUUGAUCCUAUUUUGUUGGUUUCUAGGAUUGACGUAAUGAUUAAUAGGGAUAGUUGGGGGCAUUAGUAUUCAAUUGUCAGAGGUGAAAUUCUUGGAUUUAUUGAAGACUAACUACUGCGAAAGCAUUUGCCAAGGAUGUUUUCAUUAAUCAAGAACGAAAGUUAGGGGAUCGAAGACGAUCAGAUACCGUCGUAGUCUUAACCAUAAACUAUGCCGACUAGGGAUCGGAUGAUGUUAAUUUUUUAAUGACUCAUUCGGCGCCUUA